This 303-nucleotide ribosomal RNA is filed under the name uncultured bacterium. Its description in RNAcentral is "partial 16S ribosomal RNA". It matches the Rfam family "Bacterial small subunit ribosomal RNA", at positions 507 to 809 of the family's 1533-position model. The record is from RNAcentral.
AGCAGUCGGCGCGGUAAUACGUAGGUGGCAAGCGUUGUCCGGAAUUAUUGGGCGUAAAGCGCGCGCAGGCGGAUAGGUCAGUCUGUCUUAAAAGUUCGGGGCUUAACCCCGUGAUGGGAUGGAAACUGCCAAUCUAGAGUAUCGGAGAGGAAAGUGGAAUUCCUAGUGUAGCGGUGAAAUGCGUAGAUAUUAGGAAGAACACCAGUGGCGAAGGCGACUUUCUGGACGAAAACUGACGCUGAGGCGCGAAAGCCAGGGGAGCGAACGGGAUUAGAUACCCCUGUAGUCCCUGUCUCUUAUACA